Molecule: ribosomal RNA, 471 nt
Filed under: uncultured Alphaproteobacteria bacterium
Lineage: Bacteria; Pseudomonadati; Pseudomonadota; Alphaproteobacteria
Description: bacterial SSU rRNA
Rfam family: Bacterial small subunit ribosomal RNA
Source: RNAcentral
AGAGUUUGAUCCUGGCUCAGAACGAACGCUGGCGGCAGGCCUAACACAUGCAAGUCGAGCGCACCCUUCGGGGCGAGCGGCGGACGGGUUAGUAACGCGUGGGAACAUACCCUUUUCUACGGAAUAGCCUCGGGAAACUGAGAGUAAUACCGUAUAAGCCCUUCGGGGGAAAGAUUUAUCGGGAAAGGAUUGGCCCGCGUUAGAUUAGAUAGUUGGUGGGGUAAUGGCCUACCAAGUCUACGAUCUAUAGCUGGUUUUAGAGGAUGAUCAGCAACACUGGGACUGAGACACGGCCCAGACUCCUACGGGAGGCAGCAGUGGGGAAUCUUAGACAAUGGGCGCAAGCCUGAUCUAGCCAUGCCGCGUGUGUGAUGAAGGCCUUAGGGUCGUAAAGCACUUUCGCCAGAGAUGAUAAUGACAGUAUCUGGUAAAGAAACCCCGGCUAACUCCGUGCCAGCAGCCGCGGUAAUA